AUAUGAUGCCUGAUUCUAGGCACUGCUUCAAAAACAGGAAAAACUAAUGUACAUAAAUAGAAAUCAUAUCACUGGUUACCUCUGGGGAGGUUGCCUGGGGGAGGGGAGAGAGGCAUACCUUCUAGGGGAUGGAAAUGUUGUUCUACAUGUCCUGAGUGGUAGCUACACAAGUUUACACAUACUUAAAAAUGCAACAAUGGGGGCUGGGUUGUGGUUUACCUGGUAUGUGUGAGGCAGCACUAGGUUCGAUUCUGAGCACUGCAGAUAAAUAAAUGAAUAAAAUAAAGGUCCAUCAAUAUCUAGAAAAUUUAAAAAAAAUGCAUCAGUAGGGCUGGGGAUGUGGCUCAGUGGUAAAGCGCUUGCCUAGCAUGUGAGAGGCACUGGGUUUGAUUCUCAGCAACAUAAAUAAAUAAAUAAAUAAAUAAAUAAAUAAAUGCAUCAGUGGGGGCUGCGAUGUAGUUUGGUGGUAGAGUGCUUGCCUAGCAUAUGCAAGACCCUGAAUUAAAUCUCCAGUAAGGCAAAAAACAAAAACAAACAAACAAACAAAAAUCAAUGGGAAGGGUUCAGGGGCACACACCUGUAAUCCCAGUAAUUUGGGAGGUUAAGGCAGGAGGAUCACAAAUUUAAGGUCAGCCUCAGCAAUUUAGUGAAUGUCUCAAAGAUGGGAGUUGCUGGGGAUGUAGCUCAAAGGUUCAAUCCCUAUUAUGGGGGGUGGCAAGGGGAGAAAAGAAAGAAAAAGACAAGGGUUCAAACAUUUACGAUAGAUUUGGUUGUGAUCACAUGCAAAUGGCUAAGGAAAGAUCUGACUACAAAGCCUGUGCUUCCAAACCAAAAUUUAGGAAGUUAUUGAAACACUUUUCAGGUGAGAUUUUUAUUACUGUACUUGGUAGCCCUGUGGUGUUUCACAACAUUCAGAACUUACGAAGUGUUCUAAAUCACACUCCAACUGUAAUUAAGCCAGCUCCACAUUGUGCAGCUAAAAGAGUGAGUGAUGAUGAGUUCAAAAAUUAAUGGUGCCUGCAACUCACCUUGACCCCUGUGGCUUCAUAUCUACUUCUUGCAGGAAGAGCAUUGGGAGUGUGGGGCCUGGCUUCCAAAUGCAAUUGUCAUCCCUGUCUUUGCUGGACCUUGAAGGGCAUGAAAACAAUCCAGCUUCCUGGCUGGGUGAUUCCCUGUCACCUGUCAACAGCUUUUAAAAAAUCUAGGCAAAGAAGGACUCAACAUCAUGCCUAUGUUAUUCUGACCAAAAGCUCACAUUUGAAGCUAAUGAACAAACCUCAAAUGAAGGCCACCUAACAGCUGUCCUGUCCCAUACAGUAGCUACUAGCCACAUGUAACUAUUUUGGCUGAAAUUAAAUAAAAUUUAGAAGUCAAUUCCUGAAUCCCACUAGCCACAUUUCAAAUGUCAAUUCAUCUGGCUAAUGGCUAUCAUGUUGCAUGGCACAGAUGCAGAACAUUCCUAUCAACCUAGAAUGUUACGUUGGACAAUGCUGAUCUACAGAAUAAUUCUUCAAAAACAUCAAGGUCACAAAAGACAUGUUAAGACUGGAAAACAGUUCCAGAGUAAAGGACACCCAAGUGUCGUGACUAUUGAAUGUAAUGUGGGAUCCUACCUUGGAUCUUGAGACAGAAAAAGGACAUUAGUGGGACCAAUGGUGAAAUCUGAAUAAUGUUUUGUUUUUGUUUUGGUACUGGGGAUUGAACCAAGAGGUACACUACCACUGAGAUAUAUCCCUGUCCCUUUAUAUUUUUUAUUUUGAGAUGGGGUCUUACUAAGUUGUUGAAACUGGCCUUGAACUGUGAUCCUCCUGUCUCAGCAUCCUGAGUAGCUAGAAUUACAGGCAUGUAAUCAUUACCACGCAGAGCCUAAACAAUGCUUUUGGCUUAACAAUGUUCUCUCAGUGGUAAUGUUCUGGUUUUGAUCAUUGUCCUGAUUGUGUAAGAUGCAUUUGUAUUAUUUUUGUAAUUGUGUUUGAAGUCU
This 1981-nucleotide long non-coding RNA is filed under the name Marmota monax (woodchuck). The stretch from base 339 to 399 matches the Rfam family "tRNA", at positions 6 to 65 of the family's 71-position model. Lineage: Eukaryota; Metazoa; Chordata; Mammalia; Rodentia; Sciuridae. The record is from RNAcentral.